GUUCUCUAUGUGGUGGGAGCUACAACCUCAGUCACCUGAAGGCUCAAGUGGCUUGAAAUGUCCAAGAUGGCUCACUGGAGGUUCAACUGAUUUGGAAUGUGUACGAUGGUGGCAGUUGGUCCUUGCUAUAGGCUGGGAUUUUACGUGGGGCUGUCAUUUAGAGCCCUUUUGUACUCCCUCAUGUAGCCUCUCCAAGUGGCUCUCUUAGAGUUACUUCAAAGUAUCGUAGUUUCAGGACAAUCAUACCUCUUCUUUGGGGGCUGGAUCCUAGGAGUGCAAAAUUAGAAGCUAUCAGGUCUUUUUAAGGCUUAGGACAGGAAGUAGCACAAAAUUACUUCACAGCAUUCUACAUUCAAACAAGUCACAGGGCAGGGUCAGAUUCAAGAGGAGGGGACUAAAUGAGGGGAACACCAGAGGGAGUUGUUCAUUAGUAUCAUCAAUAUUAUGUGGAUGAGAAGCCCAGGUACAAUUGGGCUGAGUCUUUUGAUUCAAUGUCUCUCAUGGGCUAUGAUGAAGUUCCCAGCCUGGGGUGUGGUCUCAUCUGAAUGUUCAAGUGGAAAAGGAUCUGCUUCCAAGCUCACUCACGUUAUUGGCAGAAUUCAUUUUUUCAAGAGUUUUUUCCUUGUUGGUUGUGAGUUGGAGCCACCCUCAGUUCCUUGCCAUGUGGCACUUAUUUUCCAUAGUGUAGCUCUCAACAUAACAGAAUAUGUCAUCAAAAUUAGCAAGGAAGAGGAAGUCCUAGUAAGACACAGGAUGUAAUCUUAUGUAAUGUAGUCACAGAGUGAUACCCCAUCACCUUUGCAUAGUCUGUUGGUUAGAAGCAGGCCACAGUUCCUGUCCACAUUCAAGGAGAUUGUACAAGGGGUGAAUAUCAAAGGAGGGAAUAAUUGGGAACUGUUUUAGAGUCUGUCUGCCACACCAGCCUCCUCAUUGAGAGACAAUUAAACUGUUUACAUCAUACAUUUCAGACCUGACCAUAUGACUUAUUUCAGCCAAUGGAUUGUGGGGGAAGUGAUAUGUGCUGCUUUUAAGAAGAUUUAAGAAUUGCCAUCUGAUCUGCCACCUUCUCUUUUAUUCUCUCCCCAAGCAAGUUCUUAGAUAUUCAUCAGCCUAAAUUUUUGAGCUGACCUACUCUAGGUAUGUAAAAGAGGUAAUAAAUUAAGUCUAUUGACUGUCACUGAGAUUAUAGGAAGGUUUUUAACUGCAGUAUAAUUUAUCUAAAGUUGACUGGCCCUGCUAAACUGAGAGAUACAAGAAGCAUCUUGGGGCUAGCAACAUUGGAGAGCAAUGACAGCCCUAGACCAGGAGGGACCUGGGAAGUUAGAUCUUGCAAAGAGGGAUGUAAGGAAUGAACACACCAGCCUCACUUUCCGUCUGGCACUACUGCUGCCCAUUGGCAGGGAGGAGAAGAAGGCUAAAAAAAAGACCUUAGAAAAUGCUAACCUUUCAGGGGCAGAAGAAGAAAGAAAGAAGAAUUUAUGGGGGAGUUGAGAAGAAAUAACAGGAAAAGAAAAACAAAACAGUAGAGACAUGGAAUGGAAUGAUAAUAAAAUGAAGAAGUGGCCACACUGAGAGAUUCUUCUUAGGGUUGCACUAAUUUAGGGUUUGUGUCUGUCAAAUUUAGAAAACAGAAUUUCAUAUGUGCUUUAGAAAGAGAGACAUCUGUGAAACUGGCACAGAACAGAGCACAGGAAUAUAAUGGUAUGACUAGUGAAUAUGAAGUAAAGCUGCAGAAAAA
This 1738-nucleotide long non-coding RNA is filed under the name Pan troglodytes (chimpanzee). RNAcentral describes it as "long non-coding RNA NONPTRT013781". Lineage: Eukaryota; Metazoa; Chordata; Mammalia; Primates; Hominidae. The record is from RNAcentral.